This 451-nucleotide ribosomal RNA is filed under the name uncultured bacterium. Its description in RNAcentral is "partial 16S ribosomal RNA". It matches the Rfam family "Bacterial small subunit ribosomal RNA", at positions 354 to 796 of the family's 1533-position model. The record is from RNAcentral.
GUGGGGAAUAUUGGACAAUGGGGGGAACCCUGAUCCAGCCAUGCCGCGUGUGUGAAGAAGGCCUUUUGGUUGUAAAGCACUUUAAGCGAGGAGGAGGCUACCGAGAUUAAUACUCUUGGAUAGUGGACGUUACUCGCAGAAUAAGCACCGGCUAACUCUGUGCCAGCAGCCGCGGUAAUACAGAGGGUGCAAGCGUUAAUCGGAUUUACUGGGCGUAAAGCGCGCGUAGGUGGCAAAUUAAGUCAAAUGUGAAAUCCCCGAGCUUAACUUGGGAAUUGCAUUCGAUACUGGUUGGCUAGAGUAUGGGAGAGGAUGGUAGAAUUCCAGGUGUAGCGGUGAAAUGCGUAGAGAUCUGGAGGAAUACCGAUGGCGAAGGCAGCCAUCUGGCCUAAUACUGACACUGAGGUGCGAAAGCAUGGGGAGCAAACAGGAUUAGAUACCCGUGUAGUCC